This is a long non-coding RNA of Rhododendron vialii, 318 nucleotides long. RefSeq lists it as uncharacterized. The record is from RefSeq and is a predicted model, not a curated record. The transcript is spliced from 2 exons. NCBI's taxonomy places the organism in Eukaryota, Viridiplantae, Streptophyta, Magnoliopsida, Ericales, Ericaceae.
AUUAUAAUAAAUGAUCCAAAUUACAGAAUAGAGCAGUAGGGAAGGAGAGAGCUCACGGGAAGGAUGAGAUCGGAGACGACGGCGGAGCAGACUGAGGAAACGGAGCGAACGGGUACUCCGGCGAUGCCUUUCCCGGCGACCCAGGCCUCCAAUGAAUGGAGGGUCUUGAUCUAUUACUGGGUGCUCUGGCUUCGCCGACGCCGUCGAUCACCCAUCCUUACCCGGAGAUACCCAUGGGCUGGUCGCCGGAAGUGGAGCCGGCGGUGGUGGGUGUUGCCGGUGGUCCUCCUCCUCUUUUCUAGAUGGUCCAAUUUUGGG